This 226-nucleotide ribosomal RNA is filed under the name Salmonella enterica. Its description in RNAcentral is "partial 16S ribosomal RNA". It matches the Rfam family "Bacterial small subunit ribosomal RNA", at positions 1 to 225 of the family's 1533-position model. Lineage: Bacteria; Pseudomonadati; Pseudomonadota; Gammaproteobacteria; Enterobacterales; Enterobacteriaceae. The record is from RNAcentral.
AAAUUGAAGAGUUUGAUCAUGGCUCAGAUUGAACGCUGGCGGCAGGCCUAACACAUGCAAGUCGAACGGUAGCACAGAGAGCUUGCUCUCGGGUGACGAGUGGCGGACGGGUGAGUAAUGUCUGGGAAACUACCUGAUGGAGGGGGAUAACUACUGGAAACGGUGGCUAAUACCGCAUAACGUCGCAAGACCAAAGAGGGGGACCUUCGGGCCUCUUGCCAUCAGA